UGGGGAAUAUUGGACAAUGGGCGAAAGCCUGAUCCAGCCAUGCCGCGUGUGUGAAGAAGGUCUUCGGAUUGUAAAGCACUUUAAGUUGGGAGGAAGGGCAUUAACCUAAUACGUUAGUGUUUUGACGUUACCGACAGAAUAAGCACCGGCUAACUCUGUGCCAGCAGCCGCGGUAAUACAGAGGGUGCAAGCGUUAAUCGGAAUUACUGGGCGUAAAGCGCGCGUAGGUGGUUUGUUAAGUUGGAUGUGAAAUCCCCGGGCUCAACCUGGGAACUGCAUUCAAAACUGACUGACUAGAGGAUUGUAGAGGGUGGUGGAAUUUCCUGUGUAGCGGUGAAAUGCGUAGAUAUAGGAAGGAACACCAGUGGCGAAGGCGACCACCUGGACUAAUACUGACACUGAGGUGCGAAAGCGUGGGGAGCAAACA
RNAcentral lists this ribosomal RNA (427 nucleotides) under uncultured bacterium. RNAcentral describes it as "partial 16S ribosomal RNA". It matches the Rfam family "Bacterial small subunit ribosomal RNA", at positions 355 to 774 of the family's 1533-position model. The record is from RNAcentral.